Molecule: ribosomal RNA, 930 nt
Filed under: Firmicutes bacterium enrichment culture clone CTBE CDB1010G07
Lineage: Bacteria; Bacillati; Bacillota
Description: bacterial SSU rRNA
Rfam family: Bacterial small subunit ribosomal RNA
Source: RNAcentral
AAACUGCAAGUCGAGCGGAUUAUUCCUUCGGGGAUAGCUUAGCGGCGGACGGGUGAGUAACACGUAGGCAACCUGCCCACAAGACCGGGAUAACAUUCGGAAACGAAUGCUAAGACCGGAUACGCAAGCCUGGGGCAUCCCGGGCUUGGGAAACACGGCGCAAGCUGUGGCUUGUGGAUGGGCCUGCGGCGCAUUAGCUAGUUGGCGGGGUAACGGCCCACCAAGGCGACGAUGCGUAGCCGACCUGAGAGGGUGAACGGCCACACUGGGACUGAGACACGGCCCAGACUCCUACGGGAGGCAGCAGUAGGGAAUCUUCCACAAUGGGCGAAAGCCUGAUGGAGCAACGCCGCGUGAGUGAGGAAGGCUUUCGGGUCGUAAAGCUCUGUUGCCAGGGAAGAAUAAGGGCCAGUUAACUGCUGGUCCGAUGACGGUACCUGAGAAGAAAGCCCCGGCUAACUACGUGCCAGCAGCCGCGGUAAUACGUAGGGGGCAAGCGUUGUCCGGAAUUAUUGGGCGUAAAGCGCGCGCAGGCGGUUCUUUAAGUCUGGUGUAUAAGUGCGGGGCUCAACCCCGUGAGGCACUGGAAACUGGGGAACUUGAGUGCAGAAGAGGAGAGCGGAAUUCCACGUGUAGCGGUGAAAUGCGUAGAGAUGUGGAGGAACCCAGUGGCGAAGGCGGCUCUCUGGACUGUAACUGACGCUGAAGCGCGAAAGCGUGGGGAGCAAACAGGAUAAAAUACCCUGGUAAUCCACCCCGUAAACGAUGAUUGCUAAGGGGUGGGAGGGAUCGCCCCCUCGGUGGCCCAAGUAAAACAUUAAGCACUCCGCCCUNGGGAUUCCCUCCCAAGAAUGAAACCCAAAGGGAAUGACGGGGGACCCCCCCAACCCGUGGAAUAAGGGGGUUAAUUCGCAACCACCCGCAAAAACC